CAACCUCAACUCAUAUGGGACUACCCCCUGAAUUUAAGCAUAUUAAUUAGGGGAGGAAAAGAAACUAACAAGGAUUUUCUUAGUAGCGGCGAGCGAAAAGAAAUCAGUUCAGCACUAAGUCACUUUGUCUAUAUGGCAAAUGUGAGAUGCAGUGUACGGAACAUCAACAUUCUAGUAUGAGAAGUUAACGAUUUAAGUCCUUCUUAAAUGAGGCCAUUUACCCAUAGAGGGUGCCAGGCCCGUAUAACGUUAAUGAUUACUAGAUGGUGUUUCCAAAGAGUCGUGUUGCUUGAUAGUGCAGCACUAAGUGGGUGGUAAACUCCAUCUAAAACUAAAUAUAACCAUGAGACCGAUAGUAAACAAGUACCCGUGAGGGAAAGUUGAAAAGAACUCUGAAUAGAGAGUUAAAUAGUACGUGAAACUGCUUAGAGGUUAAGCCCGAUGAACCUGAAUAUCCGUUAUGGAAAAUUCAUCAUUAGAAUUGUAAUAUUUUAAACAAUAUUAUAAUAAUAGUGUGCAUUUUUUCCAUAUAAGGACAUUGUAAUCUAUUAGCAUAAAUAUUUAUCAUAAAAUUAUGUCUGAUUGCUUAUUUGAAUUAUAUGCU
RNAcentral lists this non-coding RNA (604 nucleotides) under Drosophila virilis. RNAcentral describes it as "Eukaryotic large subunit ribosomal RNA". It matches the Rfam family "Eukaryotic large subunit ribosomal RNA", at positions 1 to 587 of the family's 3401-position model. Lineage: Eukaryota; Metazoa; Arthropoda; Insecta; Diptera; Drosophilidae. The record is from Rfam by way of RNAcentral.